Molecule: ribosomal RNA, 774 nt
Filed under: uncultured Neocallimastigales
Lineage: Eukaryota; Fungi; Neocallimastigomycota; Neocallimastigomycetes; Neocallimastigales
Description: partial large subunit ribosomal RNA
Rfam family: Eukaryotic large subunit ribosomal RNA
Source: RNAcentral
UAUCUCUGUAGAGUCUGCAUAUCAAUAAGCGGAGGAAAAGAAACUAACUAGGAUUCCCUCAGUAACGGCGAGUGAAGCGGGAAGAGCUCAAAUUUGAAAUCUUCAAGGUUUUACCUUGACGAAUUGUAGUUUAAAGAAGUGUUUUCUGUUGGUGUUUUGGUAAAAGUUCUUUGGAAUAGGACAUCAUAGAGGGUGAGAAUCCCGUAUUUGACCAUUACUUCCAGCGUUGUGAUACACUUUCAAAGAGUCGGAUUGUUUGGGAAUGCAGUCCAAAAUGGGUGGUAAAUUUCAUCUAAAGCUAAAUAUUGGCGAGAGACCGAUAGCGAACAAGUACCGUGAGGGAAAGAUGAAAAGAACUUUGAAAAGAGAGUUAAACAGUACGUGAAAUUGUCAAAAGGGAAGCGUUUGACACCAGUGUUGUUUUCUCGAAAAUCAAUUAAAAAGUGUUGGAUUUUGUAUUGAUUAAGACCUUAUCAGCUUACUGUACUUUUUUCCUGCUCUUUUUAAUGCACUUUCGUUUAACAAGUCAACAUCAAUUUCUUUUGUUGUAAAAGAGUCAUUGGAAGGUGGCUUUCACUUCGGUGAAAGUGUUUAUAGCCUUUGGCUUCUGCAAUCGGAGAGAUUGAGGUCUGCAGCGUAGAUCCUUCGGGGUUAGAUACGUAGAUGCUAAGUUAUAGUUUUUUAUAGACAACUUGUUGACUAUAAUUAAUCAUGUAGCUUACUCGUUUGCGCUAUUUUACCUACGCUUAGGAUGUUGAUCUCUCACAGUCGAGC